CACGCCCAGGCGGCGUCGAGUGUUCUACUUCCACCCAUCCCCCCAGCAGUGUAACCCUAGCCUUUCUUCCCACUCUUUUCGCCGCCCCCUCCUCUCCCUACUCGUCGUCUCUGCCUGCUACCCCUUUGAACUCACUCCAUGCGCCAUGUCUGAAGCUUUGGCGAGUGCGUCAGUCCUCAUGGUGGCUGCCGGCGGCAUUCCAAACGCGGUCCCCCACGGCAGCUUCUGGCGGCGCUCGGGGCACGGCCACUCGGUGGCUGCCGGCCUGCUUCCCUCCCACCUGCAUGUCGCGCUAGCUUCUGAGUCUCCCUCUGUCUCCCAGGAUCUGGCGAAGUUGAGACUAGAUCCAGUGGCGGAGCUUGUCGCUGACCCGAGCUGGGGGGGGGGGGGGGGGUGCUCCGUAGCCUGAAACAACGGAGCAGGUCGUGGGUUUAUCUCUGCGGGCGGACUGGCAGCAGUGGAUGCAGGCGGUGGUAGUGCAGCACCGGCGCUGACCUGGGGAGAAAAGUCUGAAGAGCUUCCAGCAUGAGCCUGAGUUUGGCAGAGCUGCAGAUUUGCAUUGCUGCCUAAAAUAAAAGAGGCAAGGUGCAUGCUUGGUGGGAGCAGCAUUGAUGAUAUUGUUUGUUUUAAGUUCAGAUCAAAAGAAAUGUAAAUGUGUAAAUAGGUUCUACUAUUUUGAAUUUGUAUCAUGUUAUGAUGCCUGAAAGUCUCCUAUUUGGUGUGACUUGGACAUGUUAAUAUCAGAUAAUUAUGAUAAUACAGGUUUUAUCUCUGAUAAUGUAUUUUAUUCUGCUU
Long non-coding RNA from Panicum virgatum (switchgrass), 795 nucleotides. RefSeq lists it as uncharacterized. The transcript has 3 exons. Lineage: Eukaryota; Viridiplantae; Streptophyta; Magnoliopsida; Poales; Poaceae. The record is from RefSeq and is a predicted model, not a curated record.